RNAcentral lists this ribosomal RNA (265 nucleotides) under uncultured bacterium. RNAcentral describes it as "partial 16S ribosomal RNA". It matches the Rfam family "Bacterial small subunit ribosomal RNA", at positions 793 to 1055 of the family's 1533-position model. The record is from RNAcentral.
GUCCACGCCGUAAACUAUGAGAGCUAGUCGUCGGGCAGCAUGCUGUUCGGUGACGCAGCUAACGCAAUAAGCUCUCCGCCUGGGGAGUACGGCCGCAAGGUUAAAACUCAAAGGAAUUGACGGGGGCCCCGCACAAGCGGUGGAGCAUGUGGUUUAAUUCGAAGCAACGCGCAGAACCUUACCAUCCCUUGACUUGGACGUCGCGGGCCGGGAGACCGGUCUUUCAGUUCGGCUGGACGUCACACAGGUGCUGCAUGGCUGUCGU